GAUGAACGCUAGCGGCAGGCCUAACCAUGCAGUCGAGGGGUAACAGGGAAGCUUGCUUCCGCUGACGACCGGCGCACGGGUGCGUAACGCGUAUACAAUCUACCUUUUGCUACGGAAUAGCCCAGAGAAAUUUGGAUUAACACCGUAUAGAAUUACAACAUGGCAUCAUGAAAUAAUUAAAGGAUACGGCAAGAGAUGAGUAUGCGUCCUAUUAGCUAGUUGGUGUGGUAACGGCACACCAAGGCAACGAUAGGUAGGGGUCCUGAGAGGGAGAUCCCCCACACUGGUACUGAGACACGGACCAGACUCCUACGGGAGGCAGCAGUGAGGAAUAUUGGACAAUGGGCGCAAGCCUGAUCCAGCCAUGCCGCGUGCAGGAAGACGGCCCUAUGGGUUGUAAACUGCUUUUAUACAGGAAGAAACACCUCCUCGUGAGGGGGCUUGACGGUACUGUAAGAAUAAGGAUCGGCUAACUCCGUGCCAGCAGCCGCGGUAAUACGGAGGAUCCAAGCGUUAUCCGGAAUCAUUGGGUUUAAAGGGUCCGUA
This 546-nucleotide ribosomal RNA is filed under the name uncultured Flavobacteriia bacterium. Its description in RNAcentral is "bacterial SSU rRNA". It matches the Rfam family "Bacterial small subunit ribosomal RNA", at positions 28 to 573 of the family's 1533-position model. Lineage: Bacteria; Pseudomonadati; Bacteroidota; Flavobacteriia. The record is from RNAcentral.